GAUGAACGCUGGCGGCGUGCCUAAUACAUGCAAGUCGAGCGAACAGACGAGGAGCUUGCUCCUCUGACGUUAGCGGCGGACGGGUGAGUAACACGUGGAUAACCUACCUAUAAGACUGGGAUAACUUCGGGAAACCGGAGCUAAUACCGGAUAAUAUAUUGAACCGCAUGGUUCAAUAGUGAAAGACGGUUUUGCUGUCACUUAUAGAUGGAUCCGCGGCGCAUUAGCUAGUUGGUAAGGUAACGGCUUACCAAGGCAACGAUGCGUAGCCGACCUGAGAGGGUGAUCGGCCACACUGGAACUGAGACACGGUCCAGACUCCUACGGGAGGCAGCAGUAGGGAAUCUUCCGCAAAGGGCGAAAGCCUGACGGAGCAACGCCGCGUGAGUGAUGAAGGUCUUCGGAUCGUAAAACUCUGUUAUUAGGGAAGAACAAAUGUGUAAGUAACUAUGCACGUCUUGACGGUACCUAAUCAGAAAGCCACGGCUAACUACGUG
RNAcentral lists this ribosomal RNA (497 nucleotides) under uncultured bacterium. Its description in RNAcentral is "partial 16S ribosomal RNA". It matches the Rfam family "Bacterial small subunit ribosomal RNA", at positions 28 to 507 of the family's 1533-position model. The record is from RNAcentral.